GAUCGAUGGCUACAGGACGAACGCUGGCGGCGUGCCUAACACAUGCAAGUCGAACGAAGCAUUUGAUUGGAUCUCUUCGGAGUGAAGCUCUUAUGACUUAGUGGCGGACGGGUGAGUAACGCGUGAGUAACCUGCCUUUCAGAGGGGGAUAACAGUUGGAAACGACUGCUAAUACCGCAUAACGUGACGGAAUCGCAUGAUUCUGUUACCAAAGCUGAGGCGCUGAAAGAUGGACUCGCGUCUGAUUAGAUAGUUGGUGAGGUAACGGCUCACCAAGUCGACGAUCAGUAGCCGGACUGAGAGGAUGAACGGCCACAUUGGGACUGAGAUACGGCCCAGACUCCUACGGGAGGCAGCAGUGGGGAAUAUUGGGCAAUGGGGGAAACCCUGACCCAGCAACGCCGCGUGAAGGAAGAAGGCCUUCGGGUUGUAAACUUCUUUUACCAGGGACGAAGGACGUGACGGUACCUGGAGAAAAAGCAACGGCUAACUACGUG
Molecule: ribosomal RNA, 497 nt
Filed under: uncultured bacterium
Lineage: Bacteria
Description: bacterial SSU rRNA
Rfam family: Bacterial small subunit ribosomal RNA
Source: RNAcentral